AUCUAUCCAUGGCCAGGGUGAAGGUUCGGUAACACGAACUGGAGGCCCGAACCCACCGUCUUUGAAAAGCCGGGGGAUGAGCUGUGGAUAGGGGUGAAAGGCUAAUCAAACUCGGUGAUAGCUGGUUCUCCCCGAAAGCUAUUUAGGUAGCGCCUCGGACGAAUACCCACGGGGGUAGAGCACUGUUUCGGCUAGCGGGUCAUCUCGACUUAGCAACCCGAUGCAAACUCCGAAUACCGUGGAGUACUAUCCGGGAGACAGACGGUGGGUGCUAAUGUCCAUCGUCAAGAGGGAAACAACCCAGACCGCCAGCUAAGGUCCCCAAAUUACAGUUAAGUGGGAAACGAUGUGGGAAGGCAUAGACAGCUAGGAGGUUGGCUUAGAAGCAGCCACCCUUUAAAGAAAGCGUAAUAGCUCACUAGUCGAGUCGGCCUGCGCGGAAGAUGUAACGGGGCUAAAACUGUAUACCGAAGCUGCGGAUGCGCAUUCAUGCGCGUGGUAGGGGAGCGUUCUGUAAGUCUGCGAAGGUGUGUUGAGAAGCAUGCUGGAGAUAUCAGAAGUGCGAAUGCUGACGUGAGUAACGAUAAGGGGUGUGAAAAACGCCCCCGCCGGAAGACCAAGGGUUCCAGUUCAACGUUAAUCGGGGCUGGGUGAGUCGACCCCUAAGGCGAGGCCGAAAGGCGUAGUCGAUGGAAAACAGGUUAAUAUUCCUGUACCUCUUUACAUUGCGAUGGGGGGACGGAGAAGGCUAGGUGUACCAGCGAUCGGUAGUGCUGGGGAAAGGAUGUAGGCAGGACCCUUAGGCAAAUCCGGGGGUUCAAUGUCGAGACCCGAGACCAUCCGUACUUGUACGGAGAAGUCACUGAUGCCAUGCUUCCAAGAAAAGCCUCUAAGCUUCAGAUGUAAAGGGAUCGUACCCGAAACCGACACAGGUGGUCAGGUCGAGAAGACCAAGGCGCUUGAGGGAACUCUGGUGAAGGAACUAGGCAAAAUAGUACCGUAACUUCGGGAGAAGGUACGCUGUUGACGGUUAAGUAUUUACUACAUAAGCCGUUGGCAGCCUCAGUAACCAGGCCGCUGCAACUGUUUAUUAAAAACACAGCACUCUGCAAACACGAAAGUGGACGUAUAGGGUGUGAUGCCUGCCCGGUGCCGGAAGGUUAAUUGAUGGGGUUAGCGAAAGCGAAGCUCUUGAUCGAAGCCCCGGUAAACGGCGGCCGUAACAAUAACGGUCCUAAGGUAGCGAAAUUCCUUGUCGGGUAAGUUCCGACCUGCACGAAUGGCAUAAUGAUGGCGGCGCUGUCUCCACCAGAGACUCAGUGAAAUCGAAAUCGCGGUGAAGAUGCCGUGUACCCGUGGCUAGACGGAAAGACCCCGUGAACCUUUACUGCAGCUUUGCACUGGACUUUGACCUUACUUGUCUAU
Molecule: ribosomal RNA, 1425 nt
Filed under: metagenome
Description: bacterial LSU rRNA
Rfam family: Bacterial large subunit ribosomal RNA
Source: RNAcentral